UACAGAGGUCCCGAGCGUUGUUCGGAUUCAUUGGGCGUAAAGGGUGUGUAGGAGGUUGGGUAAGUCGGAUGUGAAAUCUCACCGCUUAACGGUGAAACUGCAUUCGAUACUGCUCAGCUAGAGGACCGGAGGGGGGAUCGGAAUUCUUGGUGUAGCAGUGAAAUGCGUAGAUAUCAAGAGGAACACCGGUGGCGAAGGC
RNAcentral lists this ribosomal RNA (199 nucleotides) under uncultured prokaryote. Its description in RNAcentral is "partial 16S ribosomal RNA". It matches the Rfam family "Bacterial small subunit ribosomal RNA", at positions 524 to 722 of the family's 1533-position model. The record is from RNAcentral.